This 253-nucleotide ribosomal RNA is filed under the name uncultured bacterium. RNAcentral's name for it is "partial 16S ribosomal RNA". It matches the Rfam family "Bacterial small subunit ribosomal RNA", at positions 524 to 776 of the family's 1533-position model. The record is from RNAcentral.
UACGGAGGGUGCAAACGUUGCUCGGAAUCAUUGGGCGUAAAGCGCACGUAGGUGGCUUGUUAAGUCGGGUGUGAAAUCCCUGGGCUCAACCCAGGAAGUGCACUCGAAACUGGCGAGCUUGAGUACUGAAGAGGGUCGCGGAAUUCCCGGUGUAGAGGUGAAAUUCGUAGAUAUCGGGAGGAACACCAGUGGCGAGGGCGGCGACCUGGGCAGAUACUGACACUGAGGUGCGAAAGCGUGGGGAGCAAACAGG